CCUACGGGAGGCAGCAGUGAGGAAUAUUGGUCAAUGGGCGAGAGCCUGAACCAGCCAAGUCGCGUGAAGGAUGACGGCCCUACGGGUUGUAAACUUCUUUUGUCAGGGAGCAAUUGGGUCCACGCGUGGGCUUAGCGAGAGUACCUGAAGAAAAAGCAUCGGCUAACUCCGUGCCAGCAGCCGCGGUAAUACGGAGGAUGCGAGCGUUAUCCGGAUUUAUUGGGUUUAAAGGGAGCGUAGACGGUUAAGUAAGUCUGGAGUGAAAGUCCGGGGCUCAACCCCGGGACUGCUCUGGAAACUAUUUAACUUGAGUGCAGGAGAGGUAAGCGGAAUUCCUAGUGUAGCGGUGAAAUGCGUAGAUAUUAGGAGGAACACCAGUGGCGAAGGCGGCUUACUGGACUGUAACUGACGUUGAGGCUCGAAAGCGUGGGGAGCAAACAGGAUUAGAUACCCCUGUAGUC
RNAcentral lists this ribosomal RNA (461 nucleotides) under uncultured bacterium. RNAcentral's name for it is "partial 16S ribosomal RNA". It matches the Rfam family "Bacterial small subunit ribosomal RNA", at positions 338 to 795 of the family's 1533-position model. The record is from RNAcentral.